RNAcentral lists this unclassified non-coding RNA (227 nucleotides) under uncultured Actinomycetes bacterium. RNAcentral describes it as "uncultured actinobacterium contains 16S-23S intergenic spacer region". It matches the Rfam family "Bacterial small subunit ribosomal RNA", at positions 978 to 1194 of the family's 1533-position model. The record is from RNAcentral. Lineage: Bacteria; Bacillati; Actinomycetota; Actinomycetes.
AAGGCUUGACAUACACCGGAAAGCAUCAGAGAUGGUGCCCCCCUUGUGGUCGGUGUACAGGUGGUGCAUGGCUGUCGUCAGCUCGUGUCGUGAGAUGUUGGGUUAAGUCCCGCAACGAGCGCAACCCUUGUCCCGUGUUGCCAGCAACCUCUUCGGAGGGUUGGGGACUCACGGGAGACCGCCGGGGUCAACUCGGAGGAAGGUGGGGAUGACGUUUCCAGGUUAGG